UUAAGCAUAUCAAUAAGCGGAGGAAAAGAAACCAACAGGGAUUGCCUCAGUAGCGGCGAGUGAAGCGGCAAAAGCUCAAAUUUGAAAUCUGGCGUCUUUGGCGUCCGAGUUGUAAUUUGAAGAAGGUAUCUUUGGGCCCGGCUCUUGUCUAUGUUCCUUGGAACAGGACGUCACAGAGGGUGAGAAUCCCGUGCGAUGAGAUGACCCGGGUCUGUGUAAAGUUCCUUCGACGAGUCGAGUUGUUUGGGAAUGCAGCUCUAAGUGGGUGGUAAAUUCCAUCUAAAGCUAAAUAUUGGCGAGAGACCGAUAGCGAACAAGUACAGUGAUGGAAAGAUGAAAAGAACUUUGAAAAGAGAGUGAAAAAGUACGUGAAAUUGUUGAAAGGGAAGGGCUUGAGAUCAGACUUGGUAUUUUGCAUGCUGCUCUCUCGGGGGCGGCCGCUGCGGUUUACCGGGCCAGCAUCGGUUUGGAGCGGCAGGAUAAUGGCGGAGGAAUGUGGCACGGCUUCUGCUGUGUGUUAUAGCCUCUGACGAUACUGCCAGCCUAGACCGAGGACUGCGGUUUUUACCUAGG
RNAcentral lists this ribosomal RNA (573 nucleotides) under Candida albicans. Its description in RNAcentral is "eukaryotic LSU rRNA". It matches the Rfam family "Eukaryotic large subunit ribosomal RNA", at positions 34 to 617 of the family's 3401-position model. Lineage: Eukaryota; Fungi; Ascomycota; Pichiomycetes; Serinales; Debaryomycetaceae. The record is from RNAcentral.